ACAGGCGGCUGUGCCACCCUGGAACAACCAGUUUUGUCUGGUCGUGGUAGCUAAGCAGCAUUGGGCCUGGUUAGUCCUGGGUUGGGAGAACGCCUGGGGGGGCACCAGGUGCGGCCAGCU
This 120-nucleotide ribosomal RNA is filed under the name Oryzias melastigma (Indian medaka). Lineage: Eukaryota; Metazoa; Chordata; Actinopteri; Beloniformes; Adrianichthyidae. The record is from RNAcentral.